UAGGGAAUCUUCGGCAAUGGACGAAAGUCUGACCGAGCAACGCCGCGUGAGUGAAGAAGGUUUUCGGAUCGUAAAGCUCUGUUGUAAGAGAAGAACGAGUGUGAGAGUGGAAAGUUCACACUGUGACGGUAUCUUACCAGAAAGGGACGGCUAACUACGUGCCAGCAGCCGCGGUAAUACGUAGGUCCCAAGCGUUGUCCGGAUUUAUUGGGCGUAAAGCGAGCGCAGGCGGUUAGAUAAGUCUGAAGUUAAAGGCUGUGGCUUAACCAUAGUACGCUUUGGAAACUGUUUAACUUGAGUGCAAGAGGGGAGAGUGGAAUUCCAUGUGUAGCGGUGAAAUGCGUAGAUAUAUGGAGGAACACCGGUGGCGAAAGCGGCUCUCUGGCUUGUAACUGACGCUGAGGCUCGAAAGCGUGGGGAGCAAACAGGAUUAGAUACCCUGGUAGUCCACNCCGUAAACGAUGAGUGCUAGGUGUUAGACCCUUUUCCGGGGUUUAGUGCCGCAGCUAACGCAUUAAGCACUCCGCCUGGGGAGUACGACCGCAAGGUUG
This 551-nucleotide ribosomal RNA is filed under the name uncultured bacterium. RNAcentral describes it as "bacterial SSU rRNA". It matches the Rfam family "Bacterial small subunit ribosomal RNA", at positions 355 to 896 of the family's 1533-position model. The record is from RNAcentral.